Molecule: ribosomal RNA, 1370 nt
Filed under: uncultured bacterium
Lineage: Bacteria
Description: bacterial SSU rRNA
Rfam family: Bacterial small subunit ribosomal RNA
Source: RNAcentral
AGAGUUUGAUCCUGGCUCAGAACGAACGCUGGCGGCGUGGAUAAGACAUGCAAGUCGAACGAGAGAAUUGCUAGCUUGCUAAUAAUUCUCUAGUGGCGCACGGGUGAGUAACACGUGAGUAACCUGCCCCCGAGAGCGGGAUAGCCCUGGGAAACUGGGAUUAAUACCGCAUAGUAUCGAAAGAUUAAAGCAGCAAUGCGCUUGGGGAUGGGCUCGCGGCCUAUUAGUUAGUUGGUGAGGUAACGGCUCACCAAGGCGAUGACGGGUAGCCGGUCUGAGAGGAUGUCCGGCCACACUGGUACUGAGACACGGUCCAGACACCUACGGGUGGCAGCAGUCGAGAAUCAUUCACAAUGGGGGAAACCCUGAUGGUGUGACGCCGCGUGGGGGAAUGAAGGUCUUCGGAUUGUAAACCCCUGUCAUGUGGGAGCAAAUUAAAAAGAUAGUACCACAAGAGGAAGAGACGGCUAACUCUGUGCCAGCAGCCGCGGUAAUACAGAGGUCUCAAGCGUUGUUCGGAAUCACUGGGCGUAAAGCGUGCGUAGGCUGUUUCGUAAGUCGUGUGUGAAAGGCGCGGGCUCAACCCGCGGACGGCACAUGAUACUGCGAGACUAGAGUAAUGGAGGGGGAACCGGAAUUCUCGGUGUAGCAGUGAAAUGCGUAGAUAUCGAGAGGAACACUCGUGGCGAAGGCGGGUUCCUGGACAUUAACUGACGCUGAGGCACGAAGGCCAGGGGAGCGAAAGGGAUUAGAUACCCCUGUAGUCCUGGCAGUAAACGGUGCACGCUUGGUGUGCGGGGAAUCGACCCCCUGCGUGCCGGAGCUAACGCGUUAAGCGUGCCGCCUGGGGAGUACGGUCGCAAGAUUAAAACUCAAAGAAAUUGACGGGGACCCGCACAAGCGGUGGAGUAUGUGGCUUAAUUCGAUGCAACGCGAAGAACCUUACCUGGGCUUGACAUGUAAUGAACAACAUGUGAAAGCAUGCGACUCUUCGGAGGCGUUACACAGGUGCUGCAUGGCCGUCGUCAGCUCGUGUCGUGAGAUGUUUGGUUAAGUCCAGCAACGAGCGCAACCCCUGUUGCCAGUUACCAGCACGUGAAGGUGGGGACUCUGGCGAGACUGCCCAGAUCAACUGGGAGGAAGGUGGGGACGACGUCAGGUCAGUAUGGCCCUUAUGCCCAGGGCUGCACACGUACUACAAUGCCCAGUACAGAGGGGGCCGAAGCCGCGAGGCGGAGGAAAUCCUGAAAACUGGGCCCAGUUCGGACUGUAGGCUGCAACCCGCCUACACGAAGCCGGAAUCGCUAGUAAUGGCGCAUCAGCUACGGCGCCGUGAAUACGUUCCCGGGUCUUGCACACACCGCCCGUCA